GCUAGGCGCAGUCACACAUGCCUAUAGUCCCAGCUACUUGGGAGGCUAAGGGAGGAGGAUUGCUUGAGUCCAGGAGUUCUAAGUUGUAGUGCACUAUGUCAUUCAGGUGUCUGCAUUAAGUUUAGCAUCAAUAUCGUGAUCUCAGGGGAGCAGGGGACGACCAGGUCACCUAAGGAGGUAAGAACGGGCCCAGGUCAGAAACACAGCAGGUCUAAACUUCCAUGCUGAUCAGUAGUGAGACUGCACCUAUGAACAGCCACUGCACUCCAAUUUGGGGAAAAGAGACCCUGUCUCUUA
Molecule: unclassified non-coding RNA, 297 nt
Organism: Macaca nemestrina (pig-tailed macaque)
Lineage: Eukaryota; Metazoa; Chordata; Mammalia; Primates; Cercopithecidae
Rfam family: Metazoan signal recognition particle RNA
About the family: The signal recognition particle (SRP) is a universally conserved ribonucleoprotein. It is involved in the co-translational targeting of proteins to membranes.
Source: Ensembl